UGCGUAGGCGGUCGGGUAAGUCUGAUGUGAAAUCUCCAAGCUCAACUUGGAAAUGGCAUCGGAUACUAUUCGGCUCGAGGAAUGGAGGGGAGACUGGAAUACUUGGUGUAGCAGUGAAAUGCGUAGAUAUCAAGUGGAACACCAGUGGCGAAGGCGAGUCUCUGGGCAUUUCCUGACGCUGAGGCACAAAGGCCAGGGGAAGCAAACG
RNAcentral lists this ribosomal RNA (208 nucleotides) under uncultured bacterium. RNAcentral's name for it is "partial 16S ribosomal RNA". It matches the Rfam family "Bacterial small subunit ribosomal RNA", at positions 568 to 774 of the family's 1533-position model. The record is from RNAcentral.